AGUGGGAUAGCUGGGUCAAAUGGUGAUUCCAUUCCUAAUUUCCUGAGAAAUCUCCAUGCUGCUUUCCAUAGUGGUUGCACCAAUUUGCAGUCCCACCAGCAGU
This 103-nucleotide microRNA precursor is filed under the name Marmota monax (woodchuck). Lineage: Eukaryota; Metazoa; Chordata; Mammalia; Rodentia; Sciuridae. The record is from RNAcentral.